AUUUGACAGGUGGCGUUAUUGUAUUGGGCUGGCGUAGUAUCGUGUGUAGGAGGCUGUUACCGACUGAGGAUUUGUAAACGCAUCAAAUUUCAGGUGCGAGAGGGAGUCGAUUGUGUCAUUGGUGAGUCGGUGCCGAAUGGAGGCAAUUGAAGCAAGAACCAUAUGGUUGUAGGAUUGGGCAGGUGGUAUGUACAGGAAGAUUUUGAUGAGGAUGAGGAUGAGGAUGAUGAAUGCAACUCGGAAGGUGGUAGUAGGAUGGGCGAAAGAAUAUAAAAGAUAUUUAUCCACCACCACCACGAACCAAAUAUUACUGUCUCCACCACUUGUCUCUGUCGACCUUCCAGAAAUUUGGGGUUCCACUUCCACCCUCUAUCAUCACCAUCCCUCCCAAAGUCCUGUAUCUGUAAGUGUUUGUUUUACUCUCUCUUUUUAAUAAGAUUUUUAAUUCUUAUUGUGCAAUUUAGUUUGUUCUUUUAUUUUGAUAAUUGGAUGGUGCCAAGCCAUAUCUAACUACUUACUCUAGUUUGUUUCCACUGACUUUACCUCUUUUCAUGGAUGCCAUGACAUUAGUUGCUCUUUUGCUUAAAUACACGUAUUUUUGCACUUAUCUUUUAAGGUUAAUUACAACUUAGACGGCCGUGUGAAAGUUCUAGCAAAAAUGAUUAUUCCAACUUUGUGCUGCAUUAUUUAUAGAGGAAUGCUCCUUCCCUAUUUGCCUUUUGUGUAAGUGAUGCUAGACUGCUUGGUGGAGAGCUAGGGUUUGUGAUAUUUUCCAAUAUAAAUUGUUCUAAUUCUUGAUAAAAAUAUGAAGUGAUGAGAAUGCCUAAGAUUCACACUUGGGAUAGAAAGAAAGAAAACCUAAGCAUCGGACGAGACUUCCUUAGGAGUCCCACCUUAUGUCUAUUGCAUCAUACAAUCACAAUAGCACUAAUGCUGAAAAUUUCUCAUCAUAACUUGCUAUGUUACUUGGAGUUGGAUAUGUAUAUAGCUUGGGUAUGGUUAGAUUUUUCUCUGUUUUUCCAUAUAUUUGGAGGAUCCUUUGGAGGCCAUAUCCCCAUAUCCAUGUGUUAGACAUGGGUACUUCAAGAAGAAUGAAGAGUCCAAGCAACAUAGGUAACUUGUAUGAGGAAAACCAAACUAAGAUACUAAACCCUCAUAUAAAUGUAAAAUUCCAAACAUAACUUGACAUGUAUAUAUUAUUGAACUUAAAUACAACAAAGUAACAGAAUAAAGUCUCAAGUAAGUUAAUGCCUCAAUUGGCUUGUAUGCGUUCUUCACAUGCUUGAUUAGUAAAUAUUCACCAUUGUACAUGUGCGGCACGCAAAAAUAAUUAAUGGAAAGUCUAUUGCUGAGGAAAUCACAUCAAGAGUAGCCUCUAACGUAAAAAGGAUGAAAGAGUCCAUUGGCAAAGUUCCUGGUUUGGCUGUAAUUUUGGUGGGCCAAAGAAGGGACUCAUUGACUUAUGUUCGUAACAAGAUAAAAGCUUGUGAAGAAGCUGGAAUCAAAUCUGUGGUGGCAGAAUUUCCUGACUCUUGUGCUGAAGAGGAUAUUAUGACUUCCUUGUCAAAGUUUAAUGAGGAUCCCUCAGUUCAUGGUAUC
RNAcentral lists this long non-coding RNA (1599 nucleotides) under Gossypium barbadense (sea-island cotton). RNAcentral's name for it is "long non-coding RNA (GBAR_LNC017798)". Lineage: Eukaryota; Viridiplantae; Streptophyta; Magnoliopsida; Malvales; Malvaceae. The record is from RNAcentral.